RNAcentral lists this ribosomal RNA (664 nucleotides) under uncultured marine bacterium. RNAcentral's name for it is "bacterial SSU rRNA". It matches the Rfam family "Bacterial small subunit ribosomal RNA", at positions 817 to 1482 of the family's 1533-position model. The record is from RNAcentral.
UAGCUGUUAGGAGACUUUGUCUUUUAGUGGCGCAGCUAACGUUUUAAGUUGUCCGCCUGGGGAGUACGGCCGCAAGGCUAAAACUCAAAUGAAUUGACGGGGACCCGCACAAGCAGUGGAUCAUGUGGUUUAAUUCGAUGCAACGCGAAAAACCUUACCUACUCUUGACAUACUUGGAAGCUCUUGUAAUGAGAGUGUGCUUUUAAGAACCAAGAUACAGGUGCUGCAUGGCUGUCGUCAGCUCGUGUCGUGAGAUGUUCCGUUAAGUCGGAUAACGAGCGCAACCCUUACCCUUAUUUGCCAGCGAUUCGGUCGGGAACUAUAAGGGGACUGCCGGUGAUAAACCGGAGGAAGGUGAGGACGACGUCAAGUCAUCAUGGCCCUUACGAGUAGGGCUACACACGUGAUACAAUGGGAGAGACAGACGGACGCUAAGCCGCGAGGUGGUGCUAAUCCUAGAAACUCUCUCGUAGUCCGGAUUGGAGUCUGCAACUCGACUCCAUGAAGUUGGAAUUGCUAGUAGUCGCGGAUCAGCAUGCCGCGGUGAAUACGUUCUCGGGUCUUGUACACACCGCCCGUCACACCAUGGAAGUGGAUUGCACCAGAAGUAGAUAGUCUAACCUUAGGGAGGGCGUUUACCACGGUGUGCUUCAUGACUGGGGUG